GACGGAGGGCGCAAGCGUUAUUCGGAAUCAUUGGGCGUAAAGAGCGUGUAGGCGGCCGGUUAAGUCAGGUGUGAAAGCCCGGGGCUCAACCUCGGAAGUGCACUUGAAACUGGUCGGCUUGAGUUCCGGAGAGGGAAGCGGAAUUCCAGGUGUAGAGGUGAAAUUCGUAGAUAUCAGGAGGAACACCGGUGGCGAAGGCGGCUUCCUGGACCGAAACUGACGCUGAGACGCGAAAGCGUGGGGAGCAAACAGG
This 253-nucleotide ribosomal RNA is filed under the name uncultured bacterium. Its description in RNAcentral is "partial 16S ribosomal RNA". It matches the Rfam family "Bacterial small subunit ribosomal RNA", at positions 524 to 776 of the family's 1533-position model. The record is from RNAcentral.